GACGAACGCUGGCGGCGUGCUUAACACAUGCAAGUCGAACGGGUCUGCCCUGUUUUUUGCGGGGUGGGUCAGUGGCGAACGGGUGAGUAACACGUGAGUAACCUGCCCCUCACUUCUGGAUAACCGCUUGAAAGGGUGGCUAAUACGGGGUGUUCUGGCUGUGCCGCAUGGUGUGGCUGGGAAAGAUUCACUUUUGUGGUGUUUUGGUGGGGGAUGGGCUCGCGGCCUAUCAGCUUGUUGGUGGGGUGAUGGCCUGCCAAGGCUUUGACGGGUAGCCGGCCUGAGAGGGUGGGCGGUCACACUGGGACUGAGAUACGGCCCAGACUCCUGCGGGAGGCAGCAGUGGGGGGUAUUGCACAAUGGGCGGAAGCCUGAUGCAGCGACGUCGCGUGAGGGAUGGAGGCCUUCGGGUUGUGAACCUUUUUCGCCGGUGAAGAAGGUCCUGCUCUUUGUGGUGGGGUUGACGGUAGCCGGGUUAUGAAGCGCCGGCUAACUACGU
This 499-nucleotide ribosomal RNA is filed under the name uncultured bacterium. Its description in RNAcentral is "partial 16S ribosomal RNA". It matches the Rfam family "Bacterial small subunit ribosomal RNA", at positions 28 to 506 of the family's 1533-position model. The record is from RNAcentral.